Molecule: non-coding RNA, 932 nt
Organism: Erythranthe guttata (spotted monkey flower)
Lineage: Eukaryota; Viridiplantae; Streptophyta; Magnoliopsida; Lamiales; Phrymaceae
Source: RefSeq, a predicted model, not a curated record
AUAAUACCAACAACACGCUUUUAGUACUUCUUUUUUAUGUGUGUGGGUGACUUCUCUACUCGGGUCGGGUCAAUAAUGUAAUAUUGUCGUUCUAAUUUGAAUUUUAUUAGUCUUAAAACAGAAAAUUAGCCCCAUAACACGAUUUGAAUUUUAGGGCAUAAUCUGAUAACAAAAGUAACUACAAUGAAGCAAUCAUCCACAAUGAAAUGAGAUUCAAAACCCUAGCGCUGUGUAUAAUUUUGCUUAAUUGAGCUCGAAUCAAAGAUCAUGCCGAAAAAUCGCCGCCAUUUUCAAAGCUUCACCAGCUCUCUCUCAGUAAGUCUUUCGGAGGAAAAGAACAAAUGAUCACCAUCUCGUAUCACGCUUAUAUCAUCAAUCUCUGCAUUCUCUGCGUUUACUAAUUUCGUAAGACUGCCGUCUCCGAAUUUUUCACCUGCAGUAUGAGAUGGAAGAGAUGAUCACAACGCGAAAUCUAUGAAUAUGCAAACGAAAGCGAAAAAUAAGGAAUAUUUCCUGCUUGAUACACAAAGACAGAAAGUAUGUCAAGGAAUUGGGGUCUGGUGUUUAACUAGUAAUUGAAGAAUGGGGCAAAAAUUCGAUUGGUCUUUGUCAUUGAUGUAGCCAAACAUGGCCCUGUGGUCCUCUAUUGUUAAUUACUGCAAUAUUUUCAUCGACAUCUUUCUUGCUAUUAUUAUUGCUAGAUUUAAUAAAGAACUUUGUAAGAAUGCAAACAACGAGACGCAUUUGCCAGAGUAAUACGGUACAAGCAUUUGGACAUGAAAAGGGUGAAAUUCGCAAAAUACAGCAGUGGUCUUUGUCAAGAUACCAAAUUUUCGCAAUGAUUGUACCCGAAAAACUAAAUGUUCCAAGAAUUUUCAGAGCCAGUGUGAUGAUAUCGAUUAUCUUGAUUAUUUAUUUGAGAUAUUUCUAAA